AUUUCAAAUGAAACAAAUUAAAUUUAACCAACUUAUCUUCUUUUCUAAACAUCUUUACCGAAUACGGGUUAAAUUUCAAAACAUUUUUUGUUUGUUCAUUUUUGUUUCCCUCCAGGUUGGUUUGCAACGCAGCUUUUAGCCUAUGGGAUCGGUGGGGGCUCCGGCUGAAUAGCAGACAACUCCAUACAACCUCCAGGACUGAGAAUGUCUUCGGAUGGAAUCUGUAAGCCACAGGAGGACGAUGCUACUAAUCGAACCUGUAGAUAAUUGCUGGUCAUCAAAUGGCGAAAAACAAAAAUGCGACGGGUGACACGAAUCGAAAAAAAACAUUACGCAGUCGGAUUUCUCGGUGGAUUCAGGCUUGCCAGAAUCAGCUCACAGCUCACUCCCAUAGUUAUUCUUCGAAAAUUCAUCGCUGCAUUAUUUCAUUCAUUGCCAUCUAUUUUACAACCGGGUUGUUCGCUUUGCUUAUAUGCCCGGAUCACCAAUUUGUCACCAAACUUGGUGAUCAUCAGACGAAUCUAAUCAGUCCGGAACUUGACGUCGUAACAGGAUUUUAGCUAGUGAGAGCAUAUAAUUAUCAGUCGCUUCAAUAAUACUGGAAUUUCCUUCGACUCAAAAGAAAUGAAGCCAUCCAACAACCUGAACGACACCGAACAAAACAAAAAUAGUUUAAAAAAUGCUCACAACAAGGACGAAUUGGGAUUUUUAUGUUUAAUAUUAAAUGUUCGUGAAAUGAAUAAUGCAGACAAUGCUUCGACUGAUCGGAGAGUUGUUGGAGGUAUGGGAGGGCCGAACCAGAUUGGAGGAAUGCAACUUUAGCCAGAGCACCCACAACCUGAACAGCAAGCCGGUGAACCAGGAGGCGCUAAAUAAAUGGACCGAACAAAAUAAAUUUAUUUAUCUGUCUGUAGAAUCUGUCAACAGAAUUCCCCAGGAAUGGAUCAAAAUCCUCAACAAAUGGACCAUGAGCCAAAUGAAUCGAAACGUUGGAAGUCCAGGUGGAAGUGCCACUGUAAGUUGGAACUUAGCAGCUAGCUCAAGCCGGAAUGGCAGGAAUAUGUCCAGGUGGACCGAAUAAUUUGCAAACAGCUCCAGGUCAACAACCAAAUCAAAAUGCACCAAAUGUUGGACCAGGUCAAAUGAAUCCUAGAAACGUGGGUCCUGGUGGAAACAUUCCCGGUAAUGAAAUGAAUCCUCAAGACAAUUCCUUAAUUAUUUCUUAUUUUGUCUUAAACCGUAGGAUGGGUCCUUCGUCUUUGCU
Uranotaenia lowii is the source of this 1264-nucleotide long non-coding RNA. RefSeq lists it as uncharacterized. NCBI's taxonomy places the organism in Eukaryota, Metazoa, Arthropoda, Insecta, Diptera, Culicidae. The record is from RefSeq and is a predicted model, not a curated record. The transcript is spliced from 4 exons.